Molecule: long non-coding RNA, 987 nt
Organism: Bombus huntii
Lineage: Eukaryota; Metazoa; Arthropoda; Insecta; Hymenoptera; Apidae
Exons: 2
Source: RefSeq, a predicted model, not a curated record
GCAAUGCGGGGUAAUUAUUUAAUUUAUUUCAUAAUAUUAUUUAACAUAUAUCGUGAAAAGUUCUGAAUAUUCGGAUUCUUCUGUUAUCGUUUCAUCGUAUGUUAGCAUUAUCAGCUCUCGAUAUCGAAUUGACAAACAGAAUUUUUCUCAUGCAAAGUAAGUCACAUUAAGUAUAUGUAUAUGUAUAGUCGAAGCAAUGCAAUUAAAAAUUUUUCCAUUUUAAUUGGAAUUAUUUAUCACAGACAUUUUACCGAGCAUUCAUUUUAUAAAUCUUAUACAUAUAUAUAUGUCGGAGAUGAAAGAACACCGGAGUCUGUAAUUGAACAAUUGUAGUUAUUCAAUCCGAUUGUAAUUGUUCGAGAGUUGUGAUAAUGAGCUUGGGCUCGAGGAGGCAGUCAGUCGCCGAACGUAGCCGCGGUCACGGGAUGAACGCUUUGUCUAACAAAGGUAUGGAGUAAUUCUAUAGCUCUCCUUAAAAGAAAUAUUCGUGGCGACACGCGACAGUAAACAUUCCAACGGUUUCUGUCCCGUGGCUCGCCACACGCAGACCCUAUUCUUCGAGUAAGAUGAUUGCCAGAUGUCGAUGCGUCUCCGCAGUACAUGUUCGGCUAGCUCGAGGGCCCGUUAUAAAUCUUAAGAUUUAGUCAACUAAAGUCCUUCAAACAGACAAACAGUCUUUGUCCCAACUACGGGAAAAUAGGGGAGACUUAUUUUUCAACGAGCGGCGUCUCCCACUAAUUUUGUGAGUACGUUCAUCUAUCAUCCCGUCGACCGCGGAUUCGUUAUUGAACCUAGGAUCAUUGUCAUUAGUUUCUCGAGUGCCUAACUACCACGGUUACUUGUCCGGCUCUAUAAUAGUCGUAUUUGCACUAGUCAAUGUCUUCUCUAUUGCAUAACGACAACGUGUAACCCAAACGAAGAUUCGUUUCACGCCCCUAACCCUAAUUCUAAUGUCCGCUCCGACAUAUAUAUAUAUAUAUAUAUAUA